RNAcentral lists this ribosomal RNA (699 nucleotides) under Pseudomonadota bacterium. RNAcentral describes it as "bacterial SSU rRNA". It matches the Rfam family "Bacterial small subunit ribosomal RNA", at positions 28 to 722 of the family's 1533-position model. Lineage: Bacteria; Pseudomonadati; Pseudomonadota. The record is from RNAcentral.
AUUGAACGCUGGCGGCAUGCCUUACACAUGCAAGUCGAACGGCAGCACGGGAGCAAUCCUGGUGGCGAGUGGCGAACGGGUGAGUAAUAUAUCGGAACGUGCCCAGUCGUGGGGGAUAACGCAGCGAAAGCUGUGCUAAUACCGCAUACGAUCUACGGAUGAAAGCGGGGGAUCGCAAGACCUCGCGCGAUUGGAGCGGCCGAUAUCAGAUUAGCUAGUUGGUGGGGUAAAAGCCCACCAAGGCGACGAUCUGUAGCUGGUCUGAGAGGACGACCAGCCACACUGGAACUGAGACACGGUCCAGACUCCUACGGGAGGCAGCAGUGGGGAAUUUUGGACAAUGGGCGCAAGCCUGAUCCAGCAAUGCCGCGUGCAGGAUGAAGGCCUUCGGGUUGUAAACUGCUUUUGUACGGAGCGAAACGGCUUCCCCUAAUACGGGGAGCUAAUGACGGUACCGUAAGAAUAAGCACCGGCUAACUACGUGCCAGCAGCCGCGGUAAUACGUAGGGUGCGAGCGUUAAUCGGAAUUACUGGGCGUAAAGCGUGCGCAGGCGGUUAUAUAAGACAGAUGUGAAAUCCCCGGGCUCAACCUGGGACCUGCAUUUGUGACUGUAUAGCUAGAGUACGGUAGAGGGGGAUGGAAUUCCGCGUGUAGCAGUGAAAUGCGUAGAUAUGCGGAGGAACACCGAUGGCGAAGGC